AAAAAAAAAAAACAACUGAUAAAAAAUGGCAGAUAUGCAGACUUGCUGCUGUUGACACUUUGCUCUGUAUCUCAUUCUAAUUUCCUGCCACCAACUCCCAAACUGAUCUAUAUCUCGGCAAUUCCCUGUGACAGUCUGUUCACAGUACCAUCUACUGUUUUAAAGAUAAAGUCAUUAUUGUUACAUCCUGAAUAACAGCAACAAAUGACCUUUACACACUUACUAAAACAAUGACUUAAUGAUUACUGAUACAUUUUUCAAUCAGGACUACAGCAAACAACCCUGAUGCACAUUAUAAAAAUAGUAAAAUUAAUUCAAAGGUUUGCAGAUUUUUCCCUUUCCCCUUCUUCCCUUCCUAUUCCAGAGAUACUUCAGCUUUACUGCUAGACUGGCUGCUUUGUUAAUGUCAUCAGAUAAGGCAAAGAGCAGACACAAGCACAUUGUUGUUUAACAUACCACCUGAAUCAGGAAUACAGUAGUCCAGAAUAUUUUGAAACAUUUCAGGGCUUUUUCCAGCCAAUCACCUCACCCAAACAAUAAUCCUUUCCUCCCAUUUCUGAGUGCCUGGGAGCAGUUGCCUUUUCAGAUUUGGAGGGGACUUGGGUAGCAUAAGAUAAAUUAGAUUCUUAGUUUCGUAUAUUUGGCUUCUUUUUCCCUCUUGUCAGUAUUCCACUUAAGCUGUUUGAUAUUGUGUACCUUUCUUCCCUUCUCACCAAAGGGCUGACCUCAGGAGACAGAAAAGAGCAGGCUUUGUUGUAGCUAAUUAGAGAGGGUAGAUACCUGGGACACUGGCUGGCUACCAGCAUCACAGUAACUCUUGAAGAUCUUUGCAUUUAACAAACAUUUGCCAAACAUUUUAUUAUGUGCAGGGCUCUGUACUAAGUUCACUGUUUUUUUGUUGUUGUAGGUUAUUUUUGUUUGUUUUUCGUUUGUUUUUUCCUUCUUGAGAAUAUGUCUAACAGCUUGAGGUCUUUACAUUAGUAAGUCAUAUAACUUUAAUGAAUCAUAAUCAUAAAUCCUAGAAAACUAUGUACUAGGCCAGUUUAAGCCUGAUAUUUGAUAUUUAAUAUGGGAGCUAAUUUAUUUGUUUCCUUUCUUACAAGAUUAUGUGUAUAUAUAUAAUAUAUAAAUAUAUAUUUAUAUAUUAUAUAUAUUUACAGUACACACACACACCCUCUAUAUCUGCUUACAGUGCUCAUUCUCAAUGUGUUAACCUUCAGUCUUAAUUUACAAAGCAAACUUAUCUCAAAUCAUCAAUAAUAAAAUGUGCUGGUGUUCGGUAAUGUGUAAAUUUAAGUUUUUUCUUUUUCUAUAUAAAAAGAAAAUAAAUUUCAAUUAUGCUUAAAAAAAAAAAAAAAAAGAAUGUGAGUGCUGUAGUUUAUACUUAGCAAAAAACUCACCAGGACUAUUAAUGCAGCCCUAUCUUUCUGUGCCUUUGUUUUCUAUGCACUUAGGACAAUGGCCGAAUAGAUUUAUCAGUAGUGAAGUCAUUACUUGUGGAAAUGUAUUACUAAAACAAAUUACCAUAAAAAAUUAAAUUCAUUUAAGGAACACUUGAAUAUUUCAAUUAAGAAUUGAGAUAUUUCUUGCAAAAUCAGUGUAGUGUAGUAGAAAAAACAGAUUUCAGAAUUAGGAGACUUGGGUUCAUGUUGUGAUUCUGCCACUUAGUAGUUUGGAUGAUCAAAUAACUUUUUGGAGCCUCCAUUUCUUACUUGUAAAGGUGGGAUUAUAUUACUACCUACUUCAUAGGAUUGUUGUAAGAUUAAACGAAAUAACAUGUCAAAGGACCCAGCAGAAGUGUUGGCACUGAAUAAAAACUCAAUAAAUGUUAGAUCUGAGUACCCAAAAAAAAGAAAAAAUUGUCGUAGAACCUAAGUUUGCAUGGGUUAAAGCCUGAAAGCAAGAGCCAAAAGGUACUCUUCAAAAAGGUGAGAAUGGGCUUCCCUGGUGGUGCAGUGGUUGAGAGUCCGCCUGCCGAUGCAGGGGACACGGGUUCGUUCCCUGGUCUGGGAAGAUCCCACAUGCCGCGGAGCGGCUGGGCCCGUGAGCCAUGGCCGCUGAGCCUGCGCAUCCGGAGCCUGUGCUCCGCAACGGGAGAAGCCGCAAUGGGAGAAGCCACAACAGUGAGAGGCCCGCGUACCGCAAAAAUGAAAAAAAGUGAGAAUAUUCAAAUUUACUUUUUUUUUUUUUCUAUGUGCCUGGGAGGAAAUUGCUUUGGCUUGUUUCCUGGCUCAGGUUUCUAGUGGGGGGUGGGUAAAGAGUAUAGUCCUACUAUGGUGCAGAAAUACAUAAUCACACACAGCAACUUGGUGUGGAGUUGUGUUGUUGGGGUGACAUUUAUUAGGAAAGACAAUAAGGAAUGGUCUCUCGUUGCUCGAUCACAAUUACUGAACUCAAAAUGUGUCUGCUCACAGACUGCUGCUUGCCUUUGACUCCUCAGGGGGUGGAGCAAAUGAUUUCCUUCCUGGAUGGGGCAGUCUAUGGUCAGUGUACAAGAGUUGCUGUAGCAACCCCGCAGCUGUGCUCUGCCUAGCAGAAACUCGACUGAAAGCUCCCUGAGGGCAAGAUUCUUUCUUGCUCACCGCUGUAGCCCAGCACCUAGCAUAAUACCUGCCCCGUGCACAGACAACAGGCACUCAGAAUGAUGCUUUCUUUGAUAUUAUGAUGCUAAGAGGAAGAGGUUUGAGAACCAAGGAAGAACAUGUUGAUGAUGAUGAAAGAUGACCAAGCAUCAAAAAUGGUUUACCCAGGGAAGUUAUUGAGUACCUUGCAGAUCUUUGUGAAGAAGAUUGAAUUGCCCCGUGGUGAUACAGGGCCAGCUUGCUUAGAGUUUAAAUUCUAUUCUAGCAUUUGCUAGAAUAAAAAUCAUUGUUUUAUUUUGGUACCCAUCACAUUACCAAAUUUUAGGGGUUUUAAAAAUGUUCAGAACUGUGCUGAUUUAUGUGUUUUGAUAGAUGGGCUUUAUCCAUUUACAUUUAUUAUAGUUACUGAUAUAUUUGAACUUAUUUCGACCAUACUUCUUUUUGUUUCCUUUUUUCUCUUUUCCUGCCUUCUAUUGGAUUUAAAAGACCCAUUUCCUAUCCCUCACCCCUGCUUGUUUGGGAAGCUCUGUGUUGUAUUUCCAUUCUCUUGCUAGUCACUUUGAAGUUUUUGACAUGCAUUAUACAUUUCCCUAUAAGACUCUAAAGUUAUUCAUUAUUUCUUUUCUAAACAUUCUUGCUUUAACCCCAUUGAAGCCCACUUUACCUAUUAAACACCCUCAAACCCUACUCAAGCUAAUCUUACCAUCUUUUCCUUAGAGCUUAGAUUGUACCACUUUUUAAACCCACUUUUUAAAAGGGGGGGUUUUGGUUUGUUUGUUUAUAGUCGAUAGUUAAUUAAAUGUUUUUAUUUUAUUUUAUUUUAUUUAUUUAUUUAUUUAUUUUUGCGGUACGCGGGCCUCUCCCUGUUGUGGCCUCUCCCGUUGCAGAGCACAGGCUCCGGACGCACAGGCUCAGCGGCCAUGGCUCAUGGGCCUAGCCACUCCGGCGGCAUGUGGGAUCUUCCCGGACCGGGGCACGCACCCGUGUCCCCUGCAUCGGCAGGAGGACUCUCAACCACUGAGCCACCAGGGAAGUCCUGUAUUUAUUUUUUAAAAGACACUAUUGAAACAGUUCUUGAGAAUCUCUUUUCUGAGACGUUAAAUGAGGGCCCAGUGCCUGUCUCACGCAGAGUAGGUGCUCAAUAAAUGGAACCCAUCUUUCCCCCUCCCAAAAUAAACUGUUGUGGACCUAGAGCCUGUCAUACAGAGUGAAGUAAGUCAGAAAGAGAAAAACUAAUACCGUAUGCUAACACAUAUAUAUGGAAUCUAAAAAAAAAAAAAAAUGGUUAUGAAGAACCUAGGGGCAAAAUGGGAAUAAAGACACAGACCUACUAGAGAAUGGACUUGAGGACACAGGGAGGAGGAAGGGUAAGCUGGGACAAAG
Molecule: RNA transcript, 3965 nt
Organism: Physeter macrocephalus (sperm whale)
Lineage: Eukaryota; Metazoa; Chordata; Mammalia; Artiodactyla; Physeteridae
Exons: 4
Source: RefSeq, a predicted model, not a curated record